RNAcentral lists this ribosomal RNA (465 nucleotides) under uncultured bacterium. Its description in RNAcentral is "partial 16S ribosomal RNA". It matches the Rfam family "Bacterial small subunit ribosomal RNA", at positions 28 to 507 of the family's 1533-position model. The record is from RNAcentral.
GACGGACGCUGGCGGCGUGCUUAACACAUGCAAGUCGAACGGAAAGGCCCCAGCUUGCUGGGGUACUCGAGUGGCGAACGGGUGAGUAACACGUGGGUGAUCUGCCCUGCACUCUGGGAUAAGCCUGGGAAACUGGGUCUAAUACCGGAUAGGACCGUGCUUUAGUGUGUGCGGUGGAAAGUUUUUCGGUGCAGGAUGAGCCCGCGGCCUAUCAGCUUGUUGGUGGGGUAAUGGCCUACCAAGGCGGCGACGGGUAGCCGGCCUGAGAGGGUGUACGGCCACAUUGGGACUGAGACACGGCCCAGACUCCUACGGGAGGCAGCAGUGGGGAAUAUUGCACAAUGGGCGCAAGCCUGAUGCAGCGACGCCGCGUGGGGGAUGACGGCCUUCGGGUUGUAAACCCCUUUCGGCAGGGAUGAAGCUUUUGUGACGGUACCUGCAUAAGAAGCACCGGCUAACUACGUG